Gallus gallus (chicken) is the source of this 3247-nucleotide long non-coding RNA. The record is from Ensembl. NCBI's taxonomy places the organism in Eukaryota, Metazoa, Chordata, Aves, Galliformes, Phasianidae.
UGCUAUUUCCAGUUUCUGGAUACCAUAAUCUGGCUGAUUUAUUUUUAUAACCAAAAUAAUUGUAUGUCUGAUUUGCCAAGAAUUUAAAAAAUUCCAGGCAGCUCUCAGUAUUUAUGUCACCAUAGCACCAGUUGUCCUGGCAGGGGUUGGGGAUUUUUACAGUGCAUGCUGUACAAGCAGAGCCUUCAAAAAGAAUCUGCGUUAGAGCUUGAUUCUUUACUUCUGCAACCCAUUUCUGCCAUGUUUCAUUCACUGUGAGAAAAUGUGAGGUACUGAGAUGGAUAUCACCACUCAACUAGUGAACACUAGUAGUAGAUCGCCAGCUGAAAGUAUAUCUUGUCCUGUUGCAGUAAGGUGAAGCUAACAGGAUCUUUCUGCUGGGAUUAUAUGUGGAGAUAUAAUAUGAUAGCUGCUGAUGUAAAAACACAUCCUUUCUCAAGUACAAAUGUAGAAGCCAGGUGAUUCCUUAGGAGAAGAACCACUGUCAUGCAAAGCUGAACCAGUUGGUGGACGCUUAGGUAAUAAAUGAUGACAACAUCUAGACAGGAGAUGAAAUGUUUUGUGGAGGGAGUUCAGUGUCAGAUUCAGAGCAAGCUUGGGAACUCUCUCCACUUCUCCAGAUCUCCCACAGGCUUCACUUUGAAAAAAAGAAAUAUGCUACAAAUGUGGUACUUCAGCACCUCCGUAUCAGUGCAGGGGGAACCUACCAAAAGGGCAUGCUGAUACCCCUUUUUGUCCCAGCUGGACUUCUCACCAUCAGUCAGUGAAGUGACACAAAUGAAUCCCCCGAUGCCCAAAGAGUGUGCAAAAUGCCAUCAUAGUGCUGUAUUUUACCCGAUUGCUGUGGUUUGCUUCUCUCCCUUCAAGUCUUCUUAAAGACCCCAACCAGCACAUGAAAGGCAAAAUACCAUCCCCUUUUCUUGCUUUUCCCUAGUGCCAUGGCCUAAUUUCUAACAUAACAUUUUUGGCAAGUUCCAGUGCAAGGCUCCUUGUUUGGUAUUACUGAAAUCUUUCCAUUUGGAUUAAUUUGGUUGGUGUUUAACUUUGCCUUAUAUGCUUAAGUAACAGGCUGAGCAGAAUGCUUGUUACCUUGGGCAACCCAAAACUGACUGCUGAACUGCCAGUCAUUAACCAUUUACCUGGGACUUAACAACACUAUUUACUAAUCAAUAGUGAGAACCAUGGUAACCUUGGCUCUACAGAGCCUGAUAUCUUAUGGGAACCACGCUAAAGAAACACCAAUUCCUAGUCUUUAAUACCUGGUUCUUUUCUGCAAGGCUUCAGAGAAAGUUGUGAUGUGGCAGAAGAGGCAUGGUAUGGAUGGAGCAGAAGAAUGACGCAAGUUUAGGAGGAGGUGUCUGAUGAGGCAGAAAGAAACCUAAUCUUUAAAUGCAGAUGAACUCCCCCAGAGACAGCUGAAACGGAGGGGAGAUCAGUGGGGAUGCUGUAUCACCUGACACAUCUGCUGCUGAUACGCCUGCCAGGAAAUGGGGAGUUGUGAGCAAGGUUUGAACCCUUAGGCUUUACUAAGGAGUAGCAAAUACAGCACAGAAUGAGGUCCAACAAGGUGGGAGGCAGAUGUGGUGAGCCUCUGGAAACUGCUGCCUCCAUCUAUGGCUGGGCUUGAAUGGAGUCAAAACAUGUCUGUGAAUAAUAGCAUACCGUUACAAGUCCAAGUCUUACACAGACACAAAUCAGGUUUACUUUCCUGAACAAAAAUGGGUUUGGACAUCAUAAUGAGCUACAUAUCACCUAGUCGGGUUUAUUCACCCCCUACAAUGGCUCAUCUUACCCUGAAGAUAAAGGAACUGCUGGCUGACCUCGUGCUUCAGAGUUCAUGGGCAGGGAGCCACUUUUGGAGGAUGGUUGACCUACACCUUGGAGCUACAGCAUCUGUUAGCAUCAGGCAAAAUACGACUAUUCAGGGAAGUCACAGCCAUUCUGGUUUUACCAUCCUGAAGAAAUCAGGUGGAAAUAACCCAGUGUUACAAGGAUGAAACAGUUGCUGUGUGAGAUGCUCUGAGGUUCUCGGUACAUCACUGAAGGAAUGAGUGACCUUUUGGUGAAGGAAGAAAUGACACCAGGAUUUUUGUGAGGACAAAGUGACCCUUGUUAUGGCUCGCAGGCGAGUGAGCUAACUUCUGUGUCAAAGCCUUUCUCUUGAUAUUAUUUUGUAUUUGUGAACUUUGUGCCCGUAAGCACUGUGUGACCAGCUUACACCACGGGCCUUAGGUGUUCCAGGAUUUUGUUCUCCUGACCUGCUUCAUGGACAAUUCCAACCUGUAAUGCAAGUGGAUCUCCGGAAGAGCUGCCCUACACUUCGUUACAGGAACACUGGUCUCAAAAUUCUCCCCUCACUUCAGAGUCCACCUGCUCAGUGCCUUCCAACACAGUUGACUUCCUGCUGGCCAGUCACUGCAAGUGUCUGUGCAGAAAGACCACAUCAAUUAACAUUUUUUUGUUGUUAUUUUUAUUGACUCUUCGUGAUAUUUGACACCCGAAAAUGGGAAGGAGUGUCUACCUCGGUGAGACUAAGUAACAAGAGGAAGAGACAACUGAAAACGGUUAAGAGAAACUCAGCCCAGAACAAUGUGGGACAAAGCAUUUAUUUCCUGGAGAUGCUUCUCUAAUGAAAAAGUGCUAUGAGAAAAAUUCCGCCGUCUACAGAGAAUCAGAAAUCAUUCAGAGAAAAUGGAUUAAGGCAAUUUUCCUAUACUUUUUUUAAAAGAAGCGAGCAGUGGAAACAUUUCAUUAUCUCCAUGAGAGAUUCAAAUGCACUUGUGUGUGCUGCAGGGAUAAUGGCAUUUCCUGGGACCCUGAAGGUACUUUGGCCUCAUCCCAUGCCUGGCUAUCGGUGGAAGCUUUCAGUUAUCCAAGCACAAGGAAAAUGUUUGUUUAAAUAAAAAAGGAGUAGCGUGAGGCCAGUUCUGUGGAGUUUCUUAGAGUGUUAUCUUGCAAGACUUUUUAUUUAUUAAUGGUAUUCAGCUUUGACAUUCAGAGGUCAGCCUUGUAAGGCAGCAGAUGCUUGGGACAUGUUUUCACUUGGCGAUGCUGAAGGUGAGAGAGAGCUUUGAAAGGACUGCUGGCAAAAAUGGUGUCUGAGUUUUGAAGUUUUGUAUGCACUCUGAAUAUUACCCCAUGCAGCUUGAAAUCUCAAAGAAAAGUAAAAAAUGCUAUCAUUAUUGACCAAUGGGACUGCAUUUACAAGUGUUCUCAUUUUCCUGGAAAAAAUGACAGUAAAAAUCAC